GACGAACGCUGGCGGCGUGCUUAACACAUGCAAGUCGAACGGAAAGGCCCCCUUGUGGGGUACUCGAGUGGCGAACGGGUGAGUAACACGAGAGUAACCUACCCUUGACUUUGGGAUAACUUCAGGAAACUGGGGCUAAUACCGGAUAGGAGCUCCUGCUGCAUGGUGGGGGUUGGAAAGUUUCGGCGGUUGGGGAUGGACUCGCGGCUUAUCAGCUUGUUGGUGGGGUAGUGGCUCACCAAGGCUUUGACGGGUAGCCGGCCUGAGAGGGUGACCGGCCACAUUGGGACUGAGAUACGGCCCAGACUCCUACGGGAGGCAGCAGUGGGGAAUAUUGCACAAUGGGCGGAAGCCUGAUGCAGCAACGCCGCGUGCGGGAUGACGGCCUUCGGGUUGUAAACCGCUUUCGCCUGUGACGAAGCGUGAGUGACGGUAAUGGGUAAAGAAGCACCGGCUAACUACGUG
This 465-nucleotide ribosomal RNA is filed under the name uncultured bacterium. Its description in RNAcentral is "partial 16S ribosomal RNA". It matches the Rfam family "Bacterial small subunit ribosomal RNA", at positions 28 to 507 of the family's 1533-position model. The record is from RNAcentral.